This 2183-nucleotide long non-coding RNA is filed under the name Homo sapiens (human). RNAcentral describes it as "family with sequence similarity 215 member B (FAM215B)". The record is from RNAcentral. Lineage: Eukaryota; Metazoa; Chordata; Mammalia; Primates; Hominidae.
UUUCUGUAGAGCCGGCGUUUUGCCCUGUUGCCCAGGAGUUUUUCCUUUAAUGUUCUCCUGCUACUUACUAAUUCACUUUGUCACCCUGUGAGCUCAUAAGAGCAGAGAGAUAGCAACAGGAGCUAAAAAAACUCUAAGCUGUGAAAAAAUAUUAAAUAUGAAAUCAUGAUAGCUAUUAGCUUAAUUUGUUUUAGGCAAAUUGCAAAGUAAUUUUUUGGGAAUCAGUGUCCCACUGCAGUGAUUCCAUAUGGGGAUUCCUAAUUCCCAGUAUGUUUUUAAAAUAAUUUGUAAACACCUAGUACAAACGCAUGAUAUGAAAUUCAAGAGGUGGGAGGAUCACCUGAGCCCAGGAGGUUGAGACUUGCAGUGAGCUGAGUUCACACCACUGCACUCGAGCCUUGAUGACAGAAUGAGACUGUCUCAAAAAAAAAAAAAAAAAAAAAUUGUCCUUAAGUCCAUGUGGACCCCUGACUAGGUUUGUGCCCUAGACAGCCUUCCUCUGAGGGCAGUUCAGGUGGUGAGACUCCAGCUUUAAAUGGCCUCUAGAGAAAUUUCACUAACCUGCCUUGGUGUUUGACCCUGUAUAACCCCUUUCUUCUGGAGGUCCCUUUGGGUGGCAGUAGAUACGGGAUUUGGUGUCUGACAGCUCUGGGGACAGAUCCCAGCUCCAAAUGGCAGAGUCUCUACAGAUUACAAGCCAAAUACUUAGCACUAUGUGCUGAUCUUCAGGAAGUCAGUCUAUAUUUCAUAACAAGUCACAUGGGGAUAAUGAAGGAAUGGCCUAAAAUGCUCUCAGUAAUAUUCCUGAGUCAUCCCUCAGGGCUAGGCUUGGUGUUAGGCAUGGCGGGGAAGGGAGCAGAGCUGUGUGCAGAGGAAGAUGCAGUUCUUGCCUUGUCAGGGUCCCUGACCUGAUGGCGACCCAUGGUGGAGUCUUCAUAGUGACAGACACCACUGUAAAAGCAGAUCCAGGUUGUGCAACCCUCAAAGCAGGUCUCCUCACUCACCGGGAUAGAUAGACUAUUGGCCGUACCUGCAUCCACCGCUUGCCAUGGUUUCGUUGUGGGUGGAGGAUACUUUCCUGUCCCCUGGCUUUGGGUUUGCCCACGUGGCUUGCUCUGGCCUUGGAAUGAAGCAGAAACGAAAGGCUGCCAGUUCCGAGCCCACGUCUGAAGUCGCCUUAGGUGGUUCCGCGGGCCCCGUGCGCUCCCACCUUCACCCAGAGGGCCUUCUCUGGUGCAGCCGCUGCUUCUUCAGCCUCCGCCCAAAAGGAACGGAGCCCCCUGGCCGAUCCGCAGGCCUACAGGGAGCCACAGAGCGCAGCGGCUGGACCAGCGUUCAAGCCCAAGCACAGGCCUGCGAGAACCUUGUUCCAGCCGCCGUUUAGGAUGGUUGAUUAGGACGCGUUGCAGUGGCGGUAGCUCACCAAUCCAGUGCGUGCACCCGCUCCUUUAUUAGGCUAUAGAGCCAGUGGCUCCCACAGGGACCUGAUACAACAGUGCGUUAAAUAAGGAGCAUAUUGAGCUCUCAUGUCGUAAGCCAGUGGAGAAGUCCAGGGCUAGUGUGGGGGCUCCGGCGGGGGCUGUGGCCCCCAUCCGCAUGGAGCCUCCCCAUGGUUCACAGGUCUCAGUCUUCGGAGCCUUCGGCCCUGCGAGCCCGAACGGUCCACAGGGCGGCGCCAGACCCUCUUUCGAACGCCAUCCUCUAAAGCCUCGGCUCCAACCGGUUCCACUUCUUCAGGCUCAGGAUUUUCACUCUUCUCGAAUGGGGGUGGCCCUCCCCCAAUCUUCUGAGUCGCAACAGCAUCUCCCUCCCUCCAGGACCUCAGAGCCAGAGCUGGGCGAGAGGCCCUGACCUCCGGGGUAGGGUGGAAGCGUCCCUGUGAAGGUGCAGUCCUGCCUCCCAUCCCCAGGCGCCGGGCCUCUCCCACCCUCAGCGCCCUGCUCACCUCCAGCUGAAGAUGCCAGGGCACCUCUGCUUCCUCCCUGCCCUCUCUGCAGUACCGCCGAGUGUGCAUAAAAGGGUUUAAUAUAGGCUUUGCCGGGCGCGGGGACUCCCACCUGUAAUCCCAGUACGUUGAGAGACCAAGGCGGGAGGAUCACUUGAGGCCAGGAGUUCAAAACCAGCCUGGGCAACAAAGUGAGGCCCGUCUCUGAAAAAAAAAAAAAAAAAAAAAAAAGAAUAAA